RNAcentral lists this ribosomal RNA (245 nucleotides) under uncultured bacterium. RNAcentral describes it as "partial 16S ribosomal RNA". It matches the Rfam family "Bacterial small subunit ribosomal RNA", at positions 524 to 768 of the family's 1533-position model. The record is from RNAcentral.
GACGAACCGUGCGAACGUUGUUCGGAAUCACUGGGCUUAAAGGGCGCGUAGGCGGGUCACCAAGUCUGGGGUGAAAUCCUCCGGCUUAACCGGAGAAUUGCCUGAGAUACUGGUGGUCUUGAGGGAGGUAGGGGCACGCGGAACUUCCGGUGGAGCGGUGAAAUGCGUUGAUAUCGGAAGGAACGCCGGUGGCGAAAGCGGCGUGCUGGCCCUCUUCUGACGCUGAGGCGCGAAAGCCAGGGGAG